This 402-nucleotide ribosomal RNA is filed under the name Ammonia sp. genotype T6. RNAcentral describes it as "SSU rRNA". It matches the Rfam family "Eukaryotic small subunit ribosomal RNA", at positions 1214 to 1469 of the family's 1831-position model. Lineage: Eukaryota; Foraminifera; Rotaliida; Rotaliidae. The record is from RNAcentral.
UCUUACCGGGUCCGGACACACUGAGGAUUGACAGAUAUAUACCCCGUGAUUUUAUCGCCGGGUUGAAAGAUGCUAGUUCUUUCAUGAUUAUGUGAUAGGUGGUGCAUGGCCGUUCUUAGUUCGUGGAGUGAUCUGUCUGCUUAAUUGCGUAUCAAUAAUAGAGACCUAGUAUACGCGUAGACUCAUGCGGUAGUGACCCCCCUUCACAGGGCGCGUGUCGCACGUAUGUUAUACGCACAGGUCUCCGAUAGCAACGAACGUGACCGUACUCUAUUGUUGCAGCGACAAUACCUUUCAACGGGUAUUACCGCUGCUUUCAAGAUUCGUCUUGCAUUAAACUAUAGAGACCGCUGUUUCUUCUUUAAACCAGAGGAAGGAUACGGCAAUAACAGGUCUGUGAUG